Molecule: ribosomal RNA, 254 nt
Filed under: uncultured bacterium
Lineage: Bacteria
Description: partial 16S ribosomal RNA
Rfam family: Bacterial small subunit ribosomal RNA
Source: RNAcentral
UACGUAGGGUGCGAGCGUUGUCCGGAAUUAUUGGGCGUAAAGAGCUCGUAGGCGGUGUGUCACGUCGGCCGUGAAAACCUGCAGCUUAACUGUGGGCGUGCGGUCGAUACGGGCAUCACUGGAGUUCGGCAGGGGAGACUGGAAUUCCUGGUGUAGCGGUGAAAUGCGCAGAUAUCAGGAGGAACACCGGUGGCGAAGGCGGGUCUCUGGGCCGAUACUGACACUCAUGCACGAAAGCGUGGGGAGCAAACAGG